GAUGAACGCUGGCGGCGUGCUUAACACAUGCAAGUCGAACGAAGCAUUUAGGACAGAUUACUUCGGUUUGAAGUUCUUUAUGACUGAGUGGCGGACGGGUGAGUAACGCGUGGGUAACCUGCCUUGUACUGGGGGAUAGCAGCUGGAAACGGCUGGUAAUACCGCAUAAGCGCACAAUGUUGCAUGACAUGGUGUGAAAAACUCCGGUGGUAUAAGAUGGACCCGCGUCUGAUUAGCUAGUUGGUGAGAUAACAGCCCACCAAGGCGACGAUCAGUAGCCGAACUGAGAGGGUGACCGGCCACAUUGGGACUGAGACACGGCCCAGACUCCUACGGGAGGAAGCAGUGGGGAAUAUUGCACAAUGGAGGAAACUCUGAUGCAGCGACGCCGCGUGAGUGAAGAAGUAAUUCGUUAUGUAAAGCUCUAUCAGCAGGGAAGAUAGUGACGGUACCUGACUAAGAAGCUCCGGCUAAAUACGUG
This 481-nucleotide ribosomal RNA is filed under the name uncultured bacterium. Its description in RNAcentral is "partial 16S ribosomal RNA". It matches the Rfam family "Bacterial small subunit ribosomal RNA", at positions 28 to 507 of the family's 1533-position model. The record is from RNAcentral.